This 119-nucleotide microRNA precursor is filed under the name Glycine soja. RNAcentral describes it as "MIR4374 microRNA precursor family". It matches the Rfam family "MIR4374 microRNA precursor family". The record is from Rfam by way of RNAcentral. Lineage: Eukaryota; Viridiplantae; Streptophyta; Magnoliopsida; Fabales; Fabaceae.
CAAAGACGAUGUUUACAUCAACAACGUCUUUGAAAGUAGGCAUUCUAAGACAUUGCUGAAGUAAGCACCGUCUUUGAAUGCUUACUUUCAAAGAUGUUGCUGAGGUAAACACCGUCUUA